This 70-nucleotide transfer RNA is filed under the name Megophrys megacephala. Its description in RNAcentral is "Xenophrys megacephala tRNA-Val". It matches the Rfam family "tRNA". From Rfam's summary of the family: Transfer RNA (tRNA) molecules are approximately 80 nucleotides in length. Their secondary structure includes four short double-helical elements and three loops (D, anti-codon, and T loops). Further hydrogen bonds mediate the characteristic L-shaped molecular structure. tRNAs have two regions of fundamental functional importance: the anti-codon, which is responsible for specific mRNA codon recognition, and the 3' end, to which the tRNAs corresponding amino acid is attached (by aminoacyl-tRNA synthetases). tRNAs cope with the degeneracy of the genetic code in two manners: having more than one tRNA (with a specific anti-codon) for a particular amino acid; and 'wobble' base-pairing, i.e. permitting non-standard base-pairing at the 3rd anti-codon position. Lineage: Eukaryota; Metazoa; Chordata; Amphibia; Anura; Megophryidae. The record is from RNAcentral.
AACAAAAUGUAGCUUAAUAAUAAAGCCCCUCGCUUACACCGAGACACUAUCUGUUUGUCCAGAUCAUUUU